CCGUUUUCUUUAGGCAAACUUGCCUAGUUUCUUUCCUUUUCUGUCUCGGAAUAGAUUUUAAUCUGUUAUGCUUUAAAUAAAGCGAAAUCGUCUAUUUCAUUUGCGUGCCGUUGCUUCGUCCUGUGAAGUCCGUCUUACCCAGCAAAACAAACCAGUCAGCUGACCUCUGACGUCAUGGCGCAUAUGCCGCGUGCGUGAGGAAAAGGGGAAGGGUUUGAGGUUAGUCACUCUGACCUCCCAAUGAGGCAUAUUUUUUUAAGGUGCUGAAAUUGGAGAGAUGUGGAGGUGGUGAAUUUGCUCCGCACCCGCCAAUCUGCCUGUCAGAGGGAUGCUGAAAAAUUUCG
Cyprinus carpio (common carp) is the source of this 344-nucleotide long non-coding RNA. NCBI's taxonomy places the organism in Eukaryota, Metazoa, Chordata, Actinopteri, Cypriniformes, Cyprinidae. The record is from Ensembl.